ACGAAGGGUGCAAGCGUUGUUCGGAUUUAUUGGGCGUAAAGGGUGAGUAGGCGGACAAGAAAGUCAGAUGUGAAAUCUCGGGGCUCAACCCCGAAACUGCGUCUGAAACUACUAGUCUAGAAUGUCGGAGAGGGAAGGGGAAUUUCGCAUGUAGGAGUAAAAUCCGUAGAGAUGCGAAGGAACACCAGAGGCGAAGGCGCCUUCCUGGAAGACUAUUGACGCUGAGGCACGAAAGCGUGGGGAGCAAACAG
Molecule: ribosomal RNA, 251 nt
Filed under: uncultured prokaryote
Description: partial 16S rRNA
Rfam family: Bacterial small subunit ribosomal RNA
Source: RNAcentral